Molecule: non-coding RNA, 3585 nt
Organism: Camelina sativa (false flax)
Lineage: Eukaryota; Viridiplantae; Streptophyta; Magnoliopsida; Brassicales; Brassicaceae
Source: RefSeq, a predicted model, not a curated record
CUCUUAGACCCUAAUCAUUAACCUUAUGACAACACACUCAAAAGCUUAGAUAAUUAACUAGUUGGGCCUUAAUAAAUCUGUAGGCCCAAAACACAAAAGAACAAGUCCACUUUACUUUGAUGACAUAACCUUCUUCUUCUUUUUCGAGCUCAUCUUCUCCAAAAACCUCUUCUUCUCAUUCUUCUCUUUCUUUGACUCUUCUUCAAUCAUUUUCUGAUUCUUGUGCUUUUUGUCUUUUGCAGGAGCGACCAAACGAUCAUAUUUCAACACUUCCUCUUGAUCUUUUGUGUUACUCUUCAUAUUUCAGCUCAAGGUUUUGAGCGUUCUUCUUUUUUUGUUUCUCUAGUCUACAAUAGAGGAGCUCAUAGAUUUGAGGUUUUCCAUCUUCUGAAUAUCCUUUUCAUCAAACGUUAAGUCUCCAAACUUAAUGUCACCAAACUUGAUGUCGUCGAACUUGAUGUCUUGUGAUUUUCUAAACAUAGGUCUGCUCUGCAUUUUUGAAUUGCUUCUUAGUAGUCUCCUUAUUCUCUAGCAAUAUUUUCUUUCUUUGACUAGUGUCAUUGUUGAUAACUCUUUUUCAUUUUCUAGUCAUAAUCUUAACAUCUACUUUUCCUUUAGACAUAAGAACAACUCCAUUUCCAAUUAGAAUUGGUACCUUGAAUGUUGAAUAGAUUCUAACGAACAAAUGCUUGUUUGGACUCAUGUGGUGAGUGCAUCCACUGUCAAUGAGCCAAGUAUCCUCUUCAAACGAUUCUUGAGUUGCUAGUCUUGCUGUGAACAUUUGAUAUCUUGUUCUUCUACCUCUUUUACCUCCCAGGUUCUUGUUCUUGAUUUACUUGAGCUUGUUCAGAUUUUCUGUUUUUGCAAUCUCUCAUGAUAUGCCCUUGUUUUCCACAGUUAAAACAACUUCUAGUUUCUCUGUUGCUGAAGUUAUUGUUGCUAUUGACUUUAGGCUUGUUUCUCCAAUGCUUGAUAAAUCAAAAAUCUUAAUUAUGAGUGUCUCUUUUACAAAAACCGCACCACCUUUUUCUCUCUCAAGCCAUACUGUCUUGAGUUUUCGCUCUCAUUGCCUUUUGAUUUCUGGUUAUUGAAACGUGCUACAAACGCUCUACCUAUGUGUUCUUCUUCAUCCGGAAAAAAACUUUUUCAAAUGAGCUUCAAAGAACCUAUAAUCUCAGAAAAGGAGUAUUCCAGAAGAUCCCCUUCUUGUUUGGCCAUUGUUGCUGAGAGGAUUUUGUCGAAGACAGACUCAGCAACCGCAUGUUUAAUGAUCUGAAGAGCAGAAGUAUCUUUUGACUUUGAGAGCCUUCAUGUUUGCAGCUUCCUUUAUAUGCUCUGCUCUGGGAGGCUCUAAGACUUAAGAUGAUAAUAAUUCUGGGACACCUUCUUUGACCACAUCCCAUAGAUCCUUCUUCCUAAGAGUUGUACGCAUCCUUGCCAUCCAAAAAUUGUAAUUUUACCAUCAAACACAGCCACAAGAUGUGAGGAUUGCAAGUUAAUCGCCAUAACACUCAACUUUUUACUACCCUUUUAUUUCACUCUUUUAGAAAAACUUGCACAGGUUCCACAUAUCAGAUAGAGCUCUGCUACCAUGUUGAGAAUCACUCAAAAACAGGUUUUAUUUUCUCUUUCUAUUGAUUUCCCUCAAAACGUUUCAGAACAUUCUCUGUCAAAAACUCAUUUUCCUUUCUUUUUCAAUACCUUAAUACAACACCAACGUUCACAUAUUUAAUACCUCAAGACCUCUCAAGGGACGCAUGCCCCCCAACACUCAAGACCAUAAAACGUAAAAUAACAACAGCAUAAAGCCACCCUACAACUUCUCGAAACUAUUUCAACUCAAAGUUUUGAAGCGUUCUUCUUUUUUUUGUUUCUCUGGUCUACAAUGGAGGAGCUCUCUUCAAAGCAUCAACAUAACUCAUAGGCUCGAUCUUCUUGAAGGACACAUUACCUUGCUGAUUACUAGCUUCAGACUUAUUCUUCCUUAUCAGGUACUUUAUAGGCUUGAUCUCAGAUUCCAUGAUAUUUUGCUUGUUUGAUGACAGCUUGCUCAGGUUUGAACCAUUGACGUUGGAAGCUUUUUGAGGAGACGACCCUUCACGUAUAUCAUGAGCCACCACCAUUGAGGUUUCUCUAAUAGAAGAUAUCUUGAGAUGAAAACUGUUCUUGAUCAUUUGAACUUCAGCAAUACUCUUUCCAGCUUUGUCAAGAAUGACGCAGCUGUGUUGUUUAAAAACAACUUCAUAUCCAUUCUCAAUCAUCUCAGAAACACUCAACAAAUUCUUGGUGGUUUCAAGUACAAAAAAAGACAUUUCUAAUGACUCAUUUUCCUCUUCAAGUCAUAAUCUCAACAUCGACUUUUCCUUUAGACAUAAGAACAUCUCCAUUUCCAAUUAGAAUUGGUACCUUGAAAGUUGAAUAGAUUCUAACGAACAAAUGCUUGUUUGGAGUCAUGUGGUGAGUGCAUCCACAGUCAAUGAGCCAAGUAUCCUCUUCAAAAAAAAAUUAUUGAGUUGCUAGUCUUGCUGUGAACAUUUGAUUUGCUUGUUCUUCUACCUCUUUAACCUCCUCAUGUUCUUGUUCUUGAUUUACUUGAGCUUGUUCAGAUUUUCUGUUUUUGCAGUUUCUCAUGAUAUGCCCUUGCUUCCCAUAGUUGAAACAACGUCUAGUUUCUCUAUUGAUGAAGUUAUUGUUGUUGUUGGCUUCAGACCUGUUUCUCCCAUGCUUGAUAAUUCAGACUUCUUCAUUAUGAGUGUCCCUUUUAAAAACACCGCACCACCUUUUUCUCUAAAGCCAUACUGACUUGAGCUUCCCCUCUUAUUGCCUUUUGAUUUCUGGUUAUUGAAACGUGCCACAAACGCUCCAUCUGUGUCUUUUUCUUCACCCGGAAAAAACUUUUUCUCAUGAGCAUCAAGAGAACUGAUAAUCUCAGCAAAGGUAACAGUUCUUAGAUCAUUUGUUUCCACCAUAAGAGAUGAUAAAGAAGCAUAACGUUUUCGCAUGGAAACCAAUACCUUGACACCAAAUCAAAAUCAGAUCUACCUUCUCAUAAAGCCCUCAUCUAGUUAGCAACAAGUUGAAUUAUAUAUGAGAGUACUCCAGAAGAUCCCAUGCUUGUUUGGCCGUUGUUGCAGAGAGGAUUUUAUCGAAGAUAGAAUUAGCAACCACAUGUUAAAUGAUAUGAAGAGCGAAAGUAUCUUUGACUUUGAGAUCCUUCACAUUUGCAGCUUCCUUUAUAUGCUCUGCUCUGAGAGUCUCUAAGACUUUGGAUGAUGAUAAUUCUGGGACACCUUCUUUGACCACAUCCCAUAGAUCCUUGUUCCUAAGAGUUGUACGCAUCUAUGCCACCCAAAACUCGUAAUUUUGAUCAUCAAACACAGCCACAAGCUGUGACGAUUGCAGAUUAAUCGCCAUAACACUCGAAUUUUUACUACCCUUUUGAAAAACUUGCACAUGUUCCACAGAUUAGCUAGAGCUCUGCUACCAUGUUGAGAAUCACUCAAAAACAGGUUUUCUUUUCUCUUUCUCUUGAUUUCCCUCAAAACGUUUCAGAACAUACUAUCUCAAAACUUAUUUUCAUUUCUU